GCAAGGAACUGGUGGCCCUCUCCAGCGACCUGCUGGACAGCCAGCUCGGCCUGCGCGAGAAACUGGCGGUGCGCCGCCACCUACUAUUGUGCCGCCACUGCCGGCGCUUCAUCCGCCAGAUGCGCCUGACCCAGGCGACCCUGCGCCGCCUGCCGGAAAACCGCGAAGCCGGCCUGGACCUGCUGGCCGCGCGGCUGGCCGAGCUGCGCCGGGAUCACUCGCGGCGCUGACGCUUUCCAUCAAUCUGUAGGAGCGGGCCCUGCCCGCGAUU
RNAcentral lists this small RNA (271 nucleotides) under Pseudomonas delhiensis. RNAcentral describes it as "Pseudomonas sRNA P17". It matches the Rfam family "Pseudomonas sRNA P17". The record is from RNAcentral. Lineage: Bacteria; Pseudomonadati; Pseudomonadota; Gammaproteobacteria; Pseudomonadales; Pseudomonadaceae.